GAUGAACGCUGGCGGCGUGCCUAAUACAUGCAAGUCGAGCGAACAGACGAGGAGCUUGCUCCUCUGACGUUAGCGGCGGACGGGUGAGUAACACGUGGAUAACCUACCUAUAAGACUGGGAUAACUUCGGGAAACCGGAGCUAAUACCGGAUAAUAUAUUGAACCGCAUGGUUCAAUAGUGAAAGACGGUUUUGCUGUCACUUAUAGAUGGAUCCGCGCCGCAUUAGCUAGUUGGUAAGGUAACGGCUUACCAAGGCAACGAUGCGUAGCCGACCUGAGAGGGGGAUCGGCCACCCUGAAACUGGGACACGGUCCAGACUCCAACGGGAGCCAGCGGUAGGAAUUCUUCCGCAAUGGGCGAAAGCUUGACGGAGCACCGCCGGGGGAGUAAUGAGGGUCUUCGAUUCGUAAAACUCUGUUAUAGGGAAGAACAAAUGUGUAAGUAACUAUGCACGUCUUGACGGUACCUAAUCAGAAAGCCACGGCUAACUACGUG
Molecule: ribosomal RNA, 496 nt
Filed under: uncultured bacterium
Lineage: Bacteria
Description: partial 16S ribosomal RNA
Rfam family: Bacterial small subunit ribosomal RNA
Source: RNAcentral